Macaca mulatta (Rhesus monkey) is the source of this 2848-nucleotide long non-coding RNA. NCBI's taxonomy places the organism in Eukaryota, Metazoa, Chordata, Mammalia, Primates, Cercopithecidae. The record is from Ensembl.
GGGGCUGAGGAGGUACUGGAAGAGAAAGAGGAGCAGGAGCUGGAGGAAGACGUGGAAGAGGAGCUGGAGGAGGAGGAAGAGGAGGAGUGGGGACGCCCACAACCGUGGGACAGGGUCUCGUUCUGUCGCCCAAGCUGGAGUGCAGUGGUGCAAUCACAGCUCACUGCAGUCUUAACCUCCUCAGCUCAAGUGAGCCUCAGCCUCCCAAAGUGCUUGGGUAACAGGUGUGCACCCCUGCGUCUGGCCCUUUCGUGAGUCCUUUCUAAGAAGUAGUAUGUGGCAACAGCAGCACCGUCUGGUUUCUGUGGCUGGGUGGUGGCCUCCAUCCAGCUGUCUUGGCCUCGGGACGCUUGCAGGGGCUUCUCCUGGACUGGCUUGUGUUCCCUGUUGCUCUCCAGACUCCAUGGCUCCUGCCCAUUUCCAAGCCUGGGCUUGUGAGCUUCCUAGAGAUACCAUGAGCUACUGAUAUUCUUUCCUCAUCUGUUCGUAGGGGGUUGGAUCCUUUGACUCGCAGGAGGACACGCCUGUCUUGGUGCAUGUGCCUGUCGCCGUGGGACGGCCCCAUGUCCAGGUGGCAGUGGCGAGGGUGUGAGCAGAGGUCUCAGAGUGGCCACCUCCAAGCUCACGUCUGAGGCAGCCGGGCCUGGGAGGAGCCAGGCCAGCUGGGCCGCACUCUGGGCCAAAGGUUCCUGGCGACAGACACAGAGGGAAACUGUCCAGGCUGCAGAUGACAUGCAGGGGCUGAACAUCCACCUCCCCAUUGCCCGCCCUCUUCGUGGCAGGGGCGCUGAGACCCUGGGCGGCCCCACCGGUGUUUGAGAGAAGUGGGUCCACCCUCUGCCGAGUAAGCCCGUGGGAGCUUGGACCAUUCAGGGAAAUGGAGAUGGCUAUGGGAGGGACUUCCUAGCGUCAUGGCAGGCGAGCAUGGAGCUCCGAACUAGGACCCUGGAGGCGACUGUAUGGGCCCUGAGCCGGGAUUGGGUCAGCUGUCCUCAGCGCUGGGCAUGCAGCCAUCUCAGGGCCCUGGGUACCUGCUGUGCCCAUUUCACCCAGAGGCCAGAGGUUUGACUGGCCUGCCCAGGACCUCAGAGUGACUGGGUGGAGCCCCCACUUGGGGAAGCCCCCAGCUCUCCUACAGUCAGCCCCUAGCAUGUGUGAGAGGCUGGGGAGGCCAGACCUUGGGGUUCUUCUCAAGGGGUUUCCAGUCUCAGGAGGCAAUUCCUACCGGCCCCUCCCAUCCUGGAUGUGCCACAGCCACCACUGGGGUCUGAGAUCAACAUCUCCAGGCUGAGCCCACCCCGGGCCUCACAGAAGCUGCAAUUGGACCUUCAAAUUCUUCCACAGGAUGCAGCCAAGAAAUUCACCUUGGCCCCAGCAGCAAAACUCACUCCUUUGGAGCCAGGCUAAGCCUGGGGACCCUGGGAGGACACUUGCCUUGGGGACCUCUGCCAGGUUCAGCACAAUUGCCACACACCAUCAGCAUGAAGCUCGGGGUGUGCAGUGGGAUAGGAGGGGGCUCAGGGCAUCUGCAGGUGUCUAACUCUGCUCAGAAACAACACAGCACCCUCUAGGACCCCUGGGACCUCCCUAGCAGACAAGAGGCCAGGGCGGCAGCCUCUGUUUCUCAGACACAUCUGACACCUCCCUCCUGACACUGUGACAAUCCUAGACUGACUCUGCAUCUCCCCAGGCCUUGCACAGGGUGGAUGGAUGGAUAAAUGUACAGAUGGAUGGAUGGAUGGAUGGAUGGAUGGAUGGAUGGAUGUACAGAUGGAUGGUGGAUGGAUGGAUGGGUAGAUGGAUAGACACAUGGGUGGAUGGGUAGAUGGGUGGAUAAAUGGGUGGAUGAAUGGAUGGAUGAUGGAUGGAUGAGUGGAUGGGUAGGGGGUGGAUGGAUAGAUGGAGGGCUGGGUGGAUGGAUGGGUGGGAGGAUGGAAUGAUAGAUGGGUAGAGGGAUGGAUGGAUGGGUGGAUGGAUGGGUGGAUGGGUAGAUGGAUGGGUAGGUGGAUGGAUGGAUGGAUGGGAGAAUGAACUCAUUCUGGUUGAACUCCCACCAGUUGUGCUCAGAAACAACACAGCGCCCUCCGGGACCUCUGAGACCUCCCCAGGAGGCAAGAGGCCACGGUGGCAGCCUCUGUGGCCCAGAGACAUGCUAGACCCUGUUCUGGGUGCUGGGAAGACACAAAGGAGGUAAACCCACAGGCCAAGCCCACAGGAGACCACCCCACACCCAGGUAGACAUUGCAGGACCUCUAAGCAAGGUACAGAGAGCACUGGGGAGGCCAGGAGAUGGUCCCUGAGGGAAAAGAUGGCUGAGCUGUGUUUUAGGAGACACAUACAUUUCCUGGGGGACCAGCCUCCCAUGGGCCCACUGCUGGGCAAAGCCAGACACAGCUGGGUGUGAAGAGAAUUUCAAGAGCAAGAGAAGUGUAGGAUUUGGGGUGGGUCUAGAGAGUGGCAUAAAUUAGAGAGGGCUGUGAGGGGUGCAGAGGGCCUGGAGAAUCAUGACCAGGAGGCUGGAUGUGCUCAGGGGGCAGGGGGACCCAAGAUUGUUGUUUUGUUUUGAAAUAUAGCAAGCAGCUUUAUUGAAAUAUAAUUCGCAUACUGUACAAUCCACCUAUACAAUUCAGUGUACAAUUCAGCGGUUCUUAGUAUAUUCACAGAGUUGUGCAGCCAUCGCCACCAUCAAUUUUAUAACAUUUUCAUCACUCCCCAACCCUUGUACCCAUGAGCAGUUACUCCCCAUCUCCACCUCCUGGCAGCCCCUCCCACCCCCUAGCCCCUCACAAUCUACUUUCUGUCUCUCUGGAUUUGCCUGUUCUGGACAUUUCAUAGAAAUGGAAUCAUA